GAUCUCAAAUCAGGUAGGACUACCCGCUGAACUUAAGCAUAUCAAUAAGCGGAGGAAAAGAAACUAACAAGGAUUCCCCUAGUAGCGGCGAGCGAAGCGGGAAGAGCUCAAAUUUAUAAUCUGGCACCUUCGGUGUCCGAGUUGUAAUCUCUAGAAGUGUUUUCCGCGUUGGACCGCACACAAGUCUGUUGGAAUACAGCGGCAUAGUGGUGAAACCCCCGUAUAUGGUGCGGACGCCCAGCGCUUUGUGAUACACUUUCAAUGAGUCGAGUUGUUUGGGAAUGCAGCUCAAAUUGGGUGGUAAAUUCCAUCUAAAGCUAAAUAUUGGCGAGAGACCGAUAGCGAACAAGUACCGUGAGGGAAAGAUGAAAAGCACUUUGGAAAGAGAGUUAACAGUACGUGAAAUUGUUGGAAGGGAAACGCUUGAAGUCAGACUUGCUUGCCGGAGCUUGCUUCGGUUUGCAGGCCAGCAUCAGUUUUCCGGGGUGGAUAAUGACGGUUUGAAGGUAGCAGUCUCGGCUGUGUUAUAGCUUUCCGUUGGAUACAUCCUGGGGGACUGAGGAACGCAGCGUGCUUUUUGCGAAAGACUCGUCUUUUUCACGCUUAGGAUGCUGGUGGAAUGGCUUUAAACGACCCGUCUUGAAACACGGACCA
Molecule: ribosomal RNA, 654 nt
Filed under: Rhodotorula glutinis
Lineage: Eukaryota; Fungi; Basidiomycota; Microbotryomycetes; Sporidiobolales; Sporidiobolaceae
Description: eukaryotic LSU rRNA
Rfam family: Eukaryotic large subunit ribosomal RNA
Source: RNAcentral